GAAAUUGGUAGUGAAAAACGAAGGGAAACAAUUCAUGGUAGUUGCACUAGUACUAUUGCUUCAAAAAAAUCAGAAGUUACACAAUUACAAAGCAAUAGAGGGCUUACUCAUUUUUCCCCUAAACCGGCCAUUAUGAGAAAAAGUGUGAAGUAAACUACUACUGAUGAAAAUAGUCAAGCUCAAAAGGAGCUAAGAGAGCGUAUUUAUGUUGCCAUAGCACAAUGAAUGUAUGACGUAGUAAUAGCUUUUAAUGUUGCGAAUUAUAAAAGCUUUGGGAAAAUGAUUCGAGCCAUUGGAAAUUGUGAGAGGGAAAUGAAAC
Molecule: unclassified non-coding RNA, 319 nt
Filed under: Hevea brasiliensis (rubber tree)
Lineage: Eukaryota; Viridiplantae; Streptophyta; Magnoliopsida; Malpighiales; Euphorbiaceae
Source: RNAcentral